Molecule: long non-coding RNA, 2237 nt
Organism: Erinaceus europaeus (western European hedgehog)
Lineage: Eukaryota; Metazoa; Chordata; Mammalia; Eulipotyphla; Erinaceidae
Exons: 3
Source: RefSeq, a predicted model, not a curated record
AGAUGAAGUCUUGACUCCAUGUAGGAGCCACCCACUUUGGCUAUUAAAAGUCCCCAGAGCUCUGCCCUACUAGGGAAAGAGAGAGAUAGGCUGGGAGUAUGGAUUGACCUGUCUACACUGAUGUUCAUUGGGGAAGCAAUUACAGAAGCCAGACCUUCCACCUUCUGCACCCCAUAAUGACCCUGGGUCCAUACUCCCAGAAGGUUAAAGAAUAGGAAAGCUAUCAGGGGAUGGGAUGGGAUACAGAGUUCUGGUUGUAGGAAUCGUGUGGAAUUGUACCCCUCUUAUCCUACGGUCUUGUCAAUGUUUCCAUUUUAUAAAUAAAAAUAAAAAAAGUCAAAGUCUAGUACAUUAACCUGGGGGUAAUACUGAGAGAGUCAAACAGAAUUUCUUUGGGAUUCUAGGACAGGAAUUCCCAGAGGUGCUAAUAGUAUAAAGACAAAUUUUAAGGAUGGGGGGUGGUUUUUAAACUAGCCUGAGUACUUUGAAUUUGUGUCUUCACUUGUCAUAGCUCAUCAGAACUUGCUCUUGUCCAGGAAAUCUUCUCUGCUCAACCCAGCCUCUUUCUGUGUCUGCCCUCCUUGAGGCCUUGAAUUCUCAGUGGCACUAACUUUCAUGGCUACCUGAGCUAACAAGUCAGAAUGACCUUUCAGCUUCCACAGAAUGAGACCAGGUAGAGUUGUUCUGCCAGCCAAGUGACCUGGAGUGACUUAACCUCACAGCCAAGUAAACUCUGGGAUCCAAAAGACCUAUGGUCAUCUCCCCCAAGAGUGCAACAAGAACUCAACAAGAUAAUGCCACAGACCUCAUAGAAGGACACCAUUAUACCUCAGUGACCUCUGAAUAUUCAGAGCCUGGCAGGCUGUCUGACAGAUAGUGAGUGCUCAGUUAAGGUUGGGCAAAUUACUCAGAUAUGUCACAUUAAAGUGAACUUCAGAACUUGUGCUGGGACAAACAUGCUUUUAUGAUACCCUCUUGAGACUGAAUGAGGCAAAACUGCUGGCAGGUGUUUUAGGACUGUCAAGUAUCCACUCUUGAAAAUGGCAAGUUGAGUGACAGAAAAAUCUUGUGUUCUUGUUGGCACUGUUAAGCUACUGGAUCAAGCCUUUCCUGAAAGACUUAUAAAAAAAUUGUGAGCCAAUAAGUUAUCUAUAUUGUUUAUGACUGUUUGAAUUGGGUUUUCUGUUUCUAAUAACCAAAAUCAUCCUUAUGGAUACAACCUGUACAUUUCUUUACCUUCUGUAGCUGUCACUUCCUUUCCAUGGGUGGGGUGACAUCGGCUCAGGACACAUUUCCUCCAUGAGCAUAUGGACUCUGUGAGAACUAGCUGACUCUGCUGCCUGUCGGAAACCAGACCACCCAGGAGUCGAAAGAUUAUGGAAACAUAAAGAAAACCAAAGCAGGGAAAAAAUCCAAGUGAAUGCUUCCAGAAUAACCAAAAAAGAAAAAAAAAGUGAUGGCACCUUUAAUAGCAAAAUAAUUGACCCCCACACUCCUGAUUGACAUAUAUAUAUAUAUUCAUAUCUAAGCCACCUGAAGGGUGUAUUGUUUCUGCAGAUUGCUUCUUCCUUCUGACUGCCAGUAUGAAGCACCAUAGACUGCUCUCUUUUUUCCUUUUCUGAAAUUAUCUCAGGGAUCUCACCUUUACUAAGUAGAGGUGGGCUACGGAGAAACCCAUUUAUUGGCAUUGAAUCUUAAAAUAAGAAAACUGAUUCCUGAGUUGGAGCCUGUUUCUGUACCUUCUGCUUUCUUUAAAAAAAUCUUUUUUUUUUUGUUAUUAAUAGUAUGUUACAAGAUUACAAUGUAUAGUUCUAUACCACCAGCACCAUCAAAGUUCUGUACUACCACCCUCCCCAAAGAUAAUCACCGUAGUUCUUUUUCUUACAAGUCUUACAAACAAUUUGCUUGCUCCUGUUUUGGAGAUUUUUCUUUCUUUCUUUUUUGGCAAGUUCAUAUGAAUCAGAUCUCUAGAUUCCACAUUUGAGUGAAACCAUCUGAUAGUUGUCUUUCAUUUCUAUAUUUUGCUAAGUAUAAUCACCUCCAGUUACAUCCAUUUUGUCUCACAGGACACAAUAUCAUAUAUUAUUGUUUAUUACAGAGUAGUAUUCAUGUACCUUUUUCUUUCUAACAUCUUGAGUGUUUUUUUGGUUCCUUUUGAUCUUCUGAGUUCUCAGUGGCCUUUUGAUAUAUUUCCUUAUACUGACACUGCUGCUUGCAACCAGAGUGUUCAUUGAUAG